Molecule: ribosomal RNA, 471 nt
Filed under: Triticum aestivum (bread wheat)
Lineage: Eukaryota; Viridiplantae; Streptophyta; Magnoliopsida; Poales; Poaceae
Description: partial small subunit ribosomal RNA
Source: RNAcentral
AUGAUCGAGCACCUUGAGGCCAAAGUGAGUGCUGAUAGCUUGAGAUCUCACCCUCUCAUCGAUUUGUUCAUACCAACCAUCGACAGCGAGCACGGCAUAUGCUACACCCAUCCUGAGAAACUUCCAGGUAUCACACUAAGUGGCCUAAGCAAGCAUUUCUUCCAGCGCAAUUCCAGGGCAUUCAAACGGGGCACGUGGACGCGUUGCAAGAUACAGUCGGAGUGCGGCAUGCACGCGAUGUGGCACAACACCGGCAAUACCUUGCCGGUGAUGGUCAAUGGCUGGCAAAUGGGCAGCAAAAAGGUUCUGGUGCUACACACCAACAAGAACUUCGACCAACAGAGGACCAACUUGGUGAUGCACCAGUACCACCUCGGGGACCUGGAGCAAGAGAAGGAGCCGGAGCUGGUCCUCUGCAAGAUUUUCUACCAAACGAACACUAGGGCCAGGAGUAAAAAGAUUAUAAGUUAG